Molecule: ribosomal RNA, 485 nt
Filed under: uncultured bacterium
Lineage: Bacteria
Description: SSU rRNA
Rfam family: Bacterial small subunit ribosomal RNA
Source: RNAcentral
AGGAUUAACGCUGGCGGCGUGCAUGAAACAUGCAAGUCGAGCGCGGUGUGAUGCGGGGUAACCCAAUUCACAUCUAGCGGCGAACGGGUGAGUAACACGUGAGCAACCUACCUUUGAGUUGGGGAUAGCCCUGGGAAACCAGGAUUAAUACCCGAUGUGGUCACAACAGGACAUCCUGAUGUGAGUAAAGGCGUAAGCCGCUCAAUGACGGGCUCGCGGCCUAUUAGCUUGUUGGUGGGGUAACGGCCUACCAAGGCGAUGAUGGGUAGCUGGUCUGAGAGGACGAUCAGCCACACUGGGACUGAGACACGGCCCAGACUCCUACGGGAGGCAGCAGUUAGGAAUUUUCCGCAAUGGGCGAAAGCCUGACGGAGCAACGCCGCGUGAGUGAUGAAGACCUUCGGGUUGUAAAGCUCUGUCGGAGGGUAAGAACACAAUGACGGUACCCUCCAAGAAGCCCCGGCUAACUACGUGCCAGCAGCCGC